UUCGAUCUAUCACCUGCUCUCAAUAGUAAAUGUUGAGUAUACAAUUCAAAAACAAGUUUCCUUUGGGGAACAUCAACGAUAACUUUCAUAACAGAAUCUUGUUUGGGAACACCUAGACGAAUUAGUAAAAAGUUACUCAGCAAAGAUAUUUUUCAAAAUACAAUGUUUUGAAAAUGGUACUUACGAACAACCCUGUUUUCUUUAGUAAUUAAAGAGAGCAUAUGUUUACUUUCGUGGAUACAAAUACCUUCAAGUCCGACUCGCGUAGUACUUUUACUCCGAAGAACUUGCAUAUAUGCACCUUGAUAUUCUGCUUUUGCUAAUUUGGCCAUUAAAGAUUCACCUGUGCAUCCUGCUAUCACUUCUAAUAUGUAAGAGCACCACAUGGAAUGUAAAUGUUUGAAUUGGCUAUAGUCAGCAAUCUUUGGAACAACAUUUAAUUGCAGCUUUUUUUUCUCCUUUGAAGACAACUUUUUCCUUUUCUUUGAAGCAACCGACUCUUUUCGAUCUCCUUGUUUUUCUAAGUUUAGAGAAGGGACAAGUAAAAGCGGUUUGAAAGCAAUUUUUUCGUUUAUAACAUUUUUUGCCUCUUCAGGUGUUAGGAUUUUUGUUUGAAAUACCAGGGAUUCGGGUGUCACUUUAGAAGUUGAAUUGACAGUUUUCAACGAAGAGUAUAGUGGAUCAGCCAUUCAGUACAAAUGGAUUGUCUUUUGAACGUAAAGGUAAUAAUAAUUAAAGGAAUAGCAAGUUAUAUCUGUUGUAUUAUUUUACGAAAAUUGCUCCAUUUGGCAAGUCUAGAUAUUUGGUGGUAAAGGUAAUAUGUGAGACUUUUUUUAUACUUUUGUACAGCAAGAUACUACUUCCAAAGUAAUAAUACAAUUUGGCCCCCGUUUGAGAACUUUUACCCCACUAGAGACUAAAGAUAUAUACCAUCAAGGUCAUAUACACUUUGCAAAAUUACAAAACAUCGUUAGACUGCGAUAAGCAUUUUCUGUACUCAGUACAUUCUCUUAAGUAGAUGAUAUGAAUAAACAAGUGUAGAUUAGUCACAAAAACAAGUUUAUUUAAUAGACA
This is a non-coding RNA of Schizosaccharomyces pombe (fission yeast), 1074 nucleotides long. Lineage: Eukaryota; Fungi; Ascomycota; Schizosaccharomycetes; Schizosaccharomycetales; Schizosaccharomycetaceae. The record is from the annotation of a GenBank genome assembly.